GACGAACGCUGGCGGCGUGCUUAACACAUGCAAGUCGAACGGAAAGGCCCUGCUUUUGUGGGGUGCUCGAGUGGCGAACGGGUGAGUAACACGUGAGUAACCUGCCCUUGACUUUGGGAUAACUUCAGGAAACUGGGGCUAAUACCGGAUAGGAGCUCCUGCUGCAUGGUGGGGGUUGGAAAGUUUCGGCGGUUGGGGAUGGACUCGCGGCUUAUCAGCUUGUUGGUGGGGUAGUGGCUUACCAAGGCUUUGACGGGUAGCCGGCCUGAGAGGGUGACCGGCCACAUUGGGACUGAGAUACGGCCCAGACUCCUACGGGAGGCAGCAGUGGGGAAUAUUGCACAAUGGGCGGAAGCCUGAUGCAGCAACGCCGCGUGCGGGAAGACGGCCUUCGGGUUGUAAACCGCUUUCGCCUGUGACGAAGCGUGAGUGACGGUAAUGGGUAAAGAAGCACCGGCUAACUACAUG
This 468-nucleotide ribosomal RNA is filed under the name uncultured bacterium. RNAcentral's name for it is "partial 16S ribosomal RNA". It matches the Rfam family "Bacterial small subunit ribosomal RNA", at positions 28 to 507 of the family's 1533-position model. The record is from RNAcentral.